Saimiri boliviensis boliviensis (Bolivian squirrel monkey) is the source of this 367-nucleotide non-coding RNA. Lineage: Eukaryota; Metazoa; Chordata; Mammalia; Primates; Cebidae. The record is from RefSeq and is a predicted model, not a curated record.
GCAAGAAGGUAUUGUCACCAGGGAAGGCUGUGAACAGGAAGAAAUAACUCCUGAGACUACCCCUGCUUUUGAUUUGGUGCCAGUAGGAAAGAUGGAGAUGAAAACCUCAUCAAGAUCAGCAGUGAUUUGGGAAUCACCAAUAGAGUCAAACCCUCACUCUAAGAUGAUGCCCCCGAAGGUGAACUGUGAACUAAAUUGAUGAAAGCUGGGACCAAAGCCCAGAUUUCAGGGCUCCGUGUCUAGUAUUUAUUUUCCCUGCUUUCUUCAUAAUUAAAUUCAGUGUAAUGACCCAGACGUACUGCAAGAUCCUGGAGUGUCUUCUUAAUAAUCAAAUAUUGUCCUCUAUAAAGUUAUAAUGUUUAGUGAA